This 200-nucleotide ribosomal RNA is filed under the name uncultured bacterium. RNAcentral's name for it is "partial 16S ribosomal RNA". It matches the Rfam family "Bacterial small subunit ribosomal RNA", at positions 8 to 217 of the family's 1533-position model. The record is from RNAcentral.
AGAGUUUGAUCAUGGCUCAGGACUAACGCUGGCGGCGUGCCUAACACAUGCAAGUCGAACGAGGUAGCAAUACCUAGUGGCAGACGGGUGAGUAACACGUAGUCAACCUACCUCUUAGUGGGGGAUAACUAGCCGAAAGGUUAGCUAAUACCGCAUACGAUCGUCGCGGGGCAUCCUGUGACGAUGAAAGCAGCAAUGCG